UCACUGAAACAUGUAUUAACAUAGAGAUGUAUUGUCUGGGCACAGUACCAUAUUAGAUAUGUGUCUGAACUGCCUGUCCCAGCUAAGGACAAGGUGUUUUUUUAUUAAUAAGAAAAUGUAUAAUUACUCUAACUUUCCUUUGUUCUUUGAGUGGAGCCCGAGAAGCACUGAGCAACGUGUGUGUUAUUUGUAGAUCUCGCCAUUCCCGUCUGGCAAAUUGAUUAAAAGAUUGCUUUGGUUUACGUUUAA
Long non-coding RNA from Amblyraja radiata (thorny skate), 249 nucleotides. RefSeq lists it as uncharacterized. The transcript is spliced from 2 exons. Lineage: Eukaryota; Metazoa; Chordata; Chondrichthyes; Rajiformes; Rajidae. The record is from RefSeq and is a predicted model, not a curated record.